GGGAGUGAUAACGUUGUGAAUGGACGGAGCCAUCGUUGGGUGAGUGCUGGCUCUAUUUGCACUAAGAGUGGGUGUGCCGUGUCUGAAGUGGUGUGUCUGCACAAUAAAUCGUUUGAAGUGAAGUUACAGAGUGUGGGGAAGAUAUGUAGAGUUAAUGCCGGACGCUCACCACCCCGAGAGCCCACCACCGUCACCGUAAUCCACACCCAGGCACUGACCGAAGCAUCUCCCAGCCGUAAGCCCCAUUACUUAUUCAAGAACACCUACUUACUGUUGAUUACUUACUCUGCUGUGCAGAUCGCAGGAUCCUCUGGGCUGAACGCCGCAUGUGAUGUCCCUAUGAAAGGAGGUGGACACACGAAUUAUUCCUUUCUCGGUCUUAACUGAAGCAUCUCCCAGCCGUAAGCCCAUCACCCAUUAAAGACUACAUACCUGCUGUCGAUUGCUUACUCUGCUGUGCAGAUCGUAGGAUCCCCUGGGACGAAUGCUGCAUGUGAUGUCCCUAUGAAAAGAGAUUGCAGGAUCCUCUGGGCUGGACGCUGCAUGUGAUGUCCCUGUAAAAGGAG
Long non-coding RNA from Cyprinus carpio carpio, 566 nucleotides. NCBI's taxonomy places the organism in Eukaryota, Metazoa, Chordata, Actinopteri, Cypriniformes, Cyprinidae. The record is from Ensembl.